AAAUUUUGAAAAAUUAAUUUAGGUUUUAUUAUUACACUUUAAUUCAUAUAUUUGAAAUAAUUUUUUUUUAAUUUAAUAUAUAAAAUAAUUGGUUUCUGGAAAGAUUAAGUUGUUCUAUAUGUUGAGAUUACAAGACUUGAUAUAUCGUGUAAAAUUUUGAAACUAAAUAAUUCAUUUCAAAAAAUUCUGGAAUAAAAGUGUAAUAUGGUUUAAAAUGUCAAAACUCAAGUAUUAAAUAAUUAAUUUUUUAAAAUUUAGAGAUUAAAGUUUAAAGUAAAGCAAAAUCUAGAGAUUAAAUUAUAAAUUUCUCUAUAUUUAUUUAGUCAGCGAGUGGGUUGAUGUAUAGUAUAGUAACAGCUUCCAGGUUCGUAACAAAAUUGGAUUGUUUAAUCAACACCUGGACAAGUAAUCUUCAAGUUGAAUAUUUACUUAUGUGUAAUCAAUUAUGAGUUAUGAAGCAUUGUUUGUAGCCUAUUUUAAUAUGCAAUUAAGUAGUUUUGUAAGGGCAAAUGUCUACCCCUCAAUGAACCAUUCCUUGGUAAUAAUUUAGGGGUUAAUUAAUGAAUGAAUUAGAGUUUUUCUUUUUCUUUCUGCAUUUCACACAUCUACAUAAGUACUCUUCUGGAUUUGCUUGCAUUUGGUAGUUUGGAAGGUGAUAGCAAUGCAUUGGUCUUGCCUGCAAAGAAACGUAGUAAAAGGAACGGCAUGAAUCAGGUAAAUGCAUCGGAUUAAUAGGCUCCUUGAUUAUGUUCUAUUAUUAAAUGUAAUUGAUUGAAUGCCGAGAACUUUAUUGUACAGGAGAAUGAACGGGUCCAAAAAAAAAAUAAAAACCUGAAGUUGAGCAAAUCUCAGAAAAGAAAGUUGAAGAAAUUGGAGAUGUAUGCUUGAAUAUGGCUUUUAGCAUACUUUUUUUUCUCCAUUUUUGUGUUCAUCGAAGUUAAAGAAGUUUUUGAUUACUCGGCAAGAGAAGGAGAAAGCAUUCUUACUAACAAAAAGCAUUAAGACCUUGGAGCAAGUCGGAUGCUUUUUGGCCCCCAAAUGCUUAACUUCUAUCUUUUCUGUUAACUUUCUAGGAAGCUUUCACUAAGUUUGAAAACCAAUAUAAAAUUUAUUUUUCAGGAAAUACAAGAAACCAGAGGAUGCUUUUUCACUUCUUCAAUCAUCAAGAAAUGUAAAUAGAUUUUGUAUCAUAGGACCAAUUUUUUUAUCUCCAAGCAGGUUGAAACUGUGAAAGAAAAAAGCCAGAUGGCAGCACAAUUUUCCAAGGCAGGCCUAGAAGUUUCACAUAGUGAUCAAUCUAUCAAAAUCUAUCAAUGCUUCUAGCAGCUGCACGGCUUCAGGUAUUUGAAGAGGUCAAGGAAGGGGAGCGGCUUCUUGUUGUUGCCACUAAUGUAGCUGAAACCUCUUUAACUAUCCCAGGCAUAAAGUAUGUUGUUGAUACUGGAAGGGAAAAGGUGAAGAAUUACAACCUCUCUAAUGGCAUGGAAACAUAUGAAAUACGGUGGAUAAGGCAUUAGCUACCCAACAUGCAGGCAGAGCUGGGAGAACUGGUCUUGGACACUGUUACUGCCUCUAUUCAUCUGGAGUCUUUAAUAACAUAUUUUCUGACUUCUCUUGUGCUUACAUAUCUAAUUUGCCUGUUGAUAGCAUUGUUCUUGUCCUGAAGUCCAUGAGUAUUAAUAAGGUUGCAAAUUUCCCAUUUCCAACUCCUCCGGAGGCCACUGCCUUGGUAGAAGCAGAAAAAUGCUUGAAGACUCUUGAAGCACUUGAUGACAGUGGAAGAUUGACACCCCUUGGGAAGGCCAUGGCUAAUUUUCCCAUGAGUCCCCGCCACUCUAGGAUGCUUCUUACUGUUAUCCAAAUUAUGAGGAAGGUGAAAAACUAUGCUAGAGCAAAUCUGGUCCUGGGAUAUGCAGUUGCAGCAGCUGCAGCAUUGAGCUUGACUAAUCCUUUUCUGAUGGAGUUUGUAGGAAGUCAUGAUAAUAGCAAUGGCUUAGAGCAGGAUGGGAUAUCUGACAGCCUAGGCAAUGAGAUAAACUUGGACAAGCAGGAAAAAUUAAGGAGAAAGAAACUUAAAGAAAUGGCUAAAUUAUCUCGUGCAAAAUUUUCUAAUCCUACCAGUGAUGCUAUGACUAUAGCUUAUGCAUUGCAAUGUUUUGAACUUUCAAACAACCCAGUUGAAUUCUGCACUGAAAAUGCCCUACACCUUAAAACCAUGGAAGAAAUGUCCAAGCUAAGAAAGCAGCUUCUUCAACUAGUCUUUAAUCAAAAUGUUAAUCAUGGCUUUGAUCAGGAGUUUUCAUGGAUACAUGGAACUGUGGGGGACGUAGAACAAGCUUGGAGGGUGUCCUUCAGUAAGAACCCUCUUUUACUCAAUGAGGAAGAGCUCUUAGGCCAAGCUAUCUGUGCCGGCUGGGCUGAUAGAGUUGCCAAACGAAUCAGAGGAGAUUCAAAGUCAUCUGAAGGAGAUAGAAAAGUAAAUUCAGUUCGGUAUGAGGCCUGUGGGGUUAAAGAAAUCGUGUUCCUUCAUCGUUGGUCAUCUCUUUCUAAUUCAGCUCCUGAGUUUUUGGUGUACAGUGAAUUGCUGCGGACGAAACGGCCAUACAUUCAUGGAGCAACAAGUGUGAAAUCAGAAUGGCUUGUCAAAUAUGCUAGGUCUUUGUGUAGUGUUUCUACUGUUGAGGACCCCAAACCUUUUUAUGACCCUCAAACUGACCAAGUAUAUUGUUGGAUCAGUCCAACUUUUAUGCCUCGUCUGUGGCAGCUGCCACUGUACAGUGCGCCAGUUGGCAAUGAUGUAGAACGUGUGAGGGUGUUUGCUUAUGCCUUACUUGAAGGCCAUGUUUUGCCCUGCUUUAGAUCUGUACGGAAUUUUAUGGCAGCUCGUCCUAGUAUCAUUUUGGAUAGAGAAGCUGUAGGUGGAAGGCGAGUUGGGAAUCUUUUAUUUAAGUUAGAGGCCAAGUUGAUUGAUAGUUGUGCCAUGUUAAGAGAGGUAUGGAAAGAGAAUCCUGAUGAGCUGCAUUUGGAAAUUUUACACUGGUUUAAGAAGAGCUUUCAUAAUCAUUUUGGAACGCUUUGGUCACAAAUGCAUGUUGAAGUUCAAUUAGGGCCUCAUGAACGCUUUCCCAAGAAGAUGAAGGACAAAAGGAAAGAGCAUUAGUUUGGAAGCUAGAGUGGAGAUUCUGGAACAAAAUUGCGGCUAUUGUAUAUCUGAAUGAGCUUGCUUGGUUUUUGUCAAAUAGAAAAGAAGGAACUUCCUCCGUGAAUUAAGCAAAAUCCACCGAUUAGAAAGUAAUCUAAUCAUAUGUGCCCAUUUUUUUCUUAUCUAAGAAUGAAAUUUCUUUGUCAUUGAAUCACACGCCCAAUCCCUUUUCUGUCACUUUCCAUAGGCCUGUCUGUUGGAAAAGCUUUUGCGGCUAAUUAACUGAUAUGCUUGCCUUAUAUAGAAAAAUGGACAUUGUAUGAUGCCAUGACAUGUGCUAAGGGGUGAGAGUUAUAAAGCACAUUACGUUUUGCAGGGUAUAAUCAUAUUUGAAAUGACAUCUUAUCUGUACCUGUAUUUAUAAUUCGUGGACAAAUUGCGUUUCAUCA
Molecule: unclassified non-coding RNA, 3591 nt
Filed under: Hevea brasiliensis (rubber tree)
Lineage: Eukaryota; Viridiplantae; Streptophyta; Magnoliopsida; Malpighiales; Euphorbiaceae
Source: RNAcentral